AAUGAUUCUUGGCUUUCUCUAUUUGCUUUGUCCCCGACACUUUACUCCGACUGUAGAGUCACCAUCUUCCUCAUCAAUAAUCAAAGGCUAAAAACCCCAUCCUUGCUUAAUUUCUGUUUAAUUUGUUUCUUCUUUCCUUUUUGGGGCCCCAAGAUUUUGGCUUGCUAAAUAAUCAGAAUAAAUUUGGGUUUGUCAUUCUUUCCUUUCCUUUUCUUUGCACAUGUUUUGUCAACAAUUUCUGUACUUUAGUUUAAAUAUUAUACUUUUUUCUUUUUUAAUCUUUGGAAUAGUAAACAACCUAUUAUUUUCCUCUAAUGUGUGAUCUUUAUUCGAUUUUAUAUAAUUCAAUUUAAAAUUUUGGGUUCUGUCCAUCAAUUUCCCCUUUGCUCUUCAUAUAAUGCAUGAGCAUUAAAAUCCUUUUAUCUUUGUUUUAAAAUUUCAUUUUGGAUCGCUCCGGUAGCACUUAGAAUGUUAGAAAUUUGCUGAAGAGUUCCUAUUAUAGAUAACCUCAUGGUUCACUUAUCCUGCCUAUAGGUAGACAUGGUGGUGACAAGGUGAUUUAUGCAGUUGGGUGAAAAGAUUCAAUAUAUUGAGUUAUCGAUAAGAGCCGAUACAAUGCAGAACAUGGAGGAAAGAAAACAUAGCAGCACCUUUAUGGUGCAUUUUCUGCCAUUAUUUGGUCCAAAAUAAAUGAAAAAUGCCCAAGUGUUAUUCUGCAAAAUUUUGUCUGUACCUGUAGCAUAACUGGGGAGGAAAUGUUGACACAAUUGAUGUUUUGAUCUCAAUUGCACAGUAGACCAAAACUACAGGUAUGUGGAGUACAUAAGUUUUUGUGAUAGUGGAUUGUUUCCAAUAGGAGUAUUAAGUUGAUCAAUACUAUACAAGAUUUACUCUUACUUUUGAAGGAUAACAAAACGUAACGAAAAUAAACCAUUACUUUGUAAUAUGUCUCUACUGGGGGUUAUAACUCAUUUUAGUAAUUGCUGUUUUAUUUUGCAAUUAUUUCUUCAAUUAGGAUAAUGAAAGAAAAUAAAUAUAUGUAACAUAAAAGAGGAAAUCUUCUGGCUGAUUUAGCUCAUCAGGCGAUGAACCUCUUGUGCAAGGGAUGGACAAGGAGAGGUUAUUCGCCAUUGCCAGUCUUUAACAUGUAAUGCUUAUGACAUUAAGCUUAUAGCUAUGACAGCGAGGAGGGGGGGCAAAGAUAGUAGAAUACAUCGAAAAAGAACACUUUCUCACAUAAAUUUUCAAAACCAUUAAUCAAAUAAUAAUGGUGAAAUUGUCUUUUUCUGGAUGUACUAUUUUGUAAAUUUCAUAUCAGGGGUUGUAGCAAUUAUUUGUUCAGCGUUUUCUGGACCUCCAUGUAUUCUUUUAGCUUUUCCAUCUUUUGGUUCCAAUAGAUUACCUCAUUGGAAAUACUUGCACGUAGGAGGACAAAAUGAUGGCUUAAACCACCAAUAUGAUGAGAUAUUACAGCGAUAAGGUAAUGGCUUAUAUUGGUCUUUAUCUAAUGGUGUACUUUAGAUCCUCUAUUUAUUUCUUCUUUGGAAUCUAAUUUCAGAAUUUACACUGCAUCAAGAUGCUGCAUAUCAUUUUAUUGCAUGUUGUUUAUAUCUUUGACAAAACACAAUCUUAUAGAGUCUCUGCAAAUUUUAUGAUUGGUUUUGUUUGUUAUUCUUAGUAUCAAUUGACACUAUAUGUCAAUAGAGGACCAUUUGAAUUUCUACUUGUAAUAUGUUGCUUUUAAUUUAAUUAGACUUACCUGCAUGAUGAUAUAUGCAACCUUGCAAAAGGAAUUUGUUCUAUGUCUUGUCAUUUUUAAUAGUGUAUAUGCUGAUUUUAAUCGUUGGUAGUAUUCCUGGAUAAGUUGGCUUUCUUGUUCCAGUCAACUUAUCAAUGAAUGCAGCUAACUUUGCUAAAGAAAUGUAUUAUUGCUAACCAGUGAAAUAUUUAUAAUAUUUUAAGUUGAAGAACUAGCUACUUUAGCUUUGAAAUAGUAGUAGGAUCACAUGAUCGAGGAUAUUCUGUAAAAUAAGUAGAGAAGGUUAAAAAUUUGAACAUAUUCAUGAGUUGGUUAAAGUGAUGUCAAUUGAAUGUAAAUUGCAAGGACAUGGAUUGGGAUUCAACAAUGUGGCCAGAUGCACAAGUUAGUAAAAUUGAUGAUACCAGUACAAUUAUGAAACCUAGAGGAAGAGUUUGAUGACAUCUAAUCACAUGGCAUGGGGUAAUAACUAAUGAGAAGGAUUUUGAAUCUUCGUGUUAUAGCUUUUGAGAUGUCCCUUGUUACUUGUUGUGGCUGAGAAGAAAAAGAGGAACCAUGUACUUGGCUUGAGAUAAGAAUGGGAUAUGGUUUCGUUGAGUUGUGUACCCCAUAAACCAGGUAUGAUGCUGGUAUCUUGCUCGAUCUUCAGAACCUAUUGGCUGCAGUUGUUUGCAGAUACCUGUUUGUGGAUAUCAGUUAUGGGUAUAACUAGCAGUGUGUCAGAAUGCAAAUGCACUGGAAAGGGAUUUAAGAUCAGGGGUAACAGAAAUGUACUCAAAGUUUCAGCGUUCUUUUAAUUAUUAUAGAAAGCCUUCCAUUAUAUAUCCAAUGCAUGUCUUCAUUUACCAUAGUAGCUAAUAAGUAUCAAGAAGAAACCUUCCUCCUGAAAUCUGCCAGAAAAGAGCAUUUUUCGGAGUUCCUCUAGCUUUUUUAACCUUCGUGCCACUACCUAGCAGAAAACUUCAUUGUUUUUAUGAGUUAGGGUGAAGGAGUCAGCACUCUUCUUCACAUACUUUGCAGACAUAAUAAGCUAAUUUUAGUAAUUUCAAGAAAUAAUUCAAGGGCAUAAUGACCAAAAUUUGUGAGAGUACCAUCCUUAGACAUCUUAUUGAAGUGCUGAAUUACUAUGUUGGGAUUUAAAGAAUUUUACAUGCAGAGUUCAAGAAAUGUAUCAUCUAUAGUUUAGCUACUUAAUUGAAAUGGUUUCCUAUCAGACAACAUGAAACCUGAGUUCUCUUAAUUCUAUAAUACAAUUAUUUGACAAUUUUGAUCACUGUAAAAAAUCUUUAAUAUCUUAUCUGUCUUGCAUACAAAUUCAAAGUUCUUCCUUUAUGAUGGACCAGGCCACCACUUACUCUCAGCUUCAAAAGUCCCUCUCCCUUUUGGUCCAGUAACCUACCAAAUUCGCUUAGUUACAAUGUUUGGCUGCAUAAAUUUAAAAAAAAAAAAAAAAAAAAAAAAUUUCCCUCAAAACCACUGUAGAUGGUAUGUUUUAUUAAUAUAAAAAUUUAGACACAGAACAAAAAAAAUAAACCAAAAACAAAAACUUACCGCAUCUGGAGAUGGAGGGUGUACAAUGAAAAUUAAAAAUUACAAUUCAUGCACCAUAGCAUUAUUCCUAGUCACCAUAUGUUUUGUGAAGUUUCUCUCCAUCUUCUAGCCCCUUCAGACUCACUACUUAAAUUGGACCUUCUUUGGACUAAUGAGUUUCAUCUUCAGAUGUAUUGGAUAAUAUAGGCGGGGCUAUGUAUUUGCAUAUAUUUUCUGUGGACUGGAUCAAAGACUGACAAGGAAUCUUUUAUGUAUUUGUAGUUUCUGUUAAUAUCUUUUAUCUUUCAGAAAAACAAAGGGUUGCAAUUGAUUGAGUGUUGAAUGACAAUAAAGCCCAAGAUUUGCAGUGAGACCCACCUUUCACAUGUUGACAUGCAAUUCAUUCUCGACUCGUUGCAGGUUUUAGUUCUUGGUCAGCCUGGAAAGGAGCUGAGUUUGCACUUUGCAGUUGAUGCUAAGAUUUGUUGCCAAUGUUCAUCUCAAAGUAAGUAUUGCUUGUAUUAAAUUAUUAAAUAUAACUUUGUAUGCCUUCAUAUCAGCAAUGCUAGAAAUGAAACAUUUGCAUUCUUUCCAUUUCAGUAAGGUAAAUUGUCAGCUGGAAGUGUCUUGGUUUAUACUUUAUACAUGCAUAGUGACAUCGAGCACACUAUUCUUGUACAUAUGAAUUUAUAUUCUAUAUUUAAGUUGUUUGCCAAGGCUUGGGUUGACCUUUAGCUCAACAGAGCGGGUCUAGAUCCCUACCAAGCACUACAGCAAAGUUGUUUCUUCUAUCCUUAUUGUGCUUUAUGUAGGCUUAGCCUGGUGAAGCAGAGAAUGGGCAAUGUGCAGUGGUAUAAUUUAACACGUUUAGUUAAAAAAUCGCUAAUUCAAAAGGCUUGACCUGUGUUUAAAUAGAUUGGGUCGAGCGAACCUGCAGUGUGAAUCCCUUUGUUUCUUAUAUCUCACCUUAAACUGUGUAUAUCUCCAACAGGUCCUAACAAUUGUCCCUUUAAUGCGCCGUAUAAAAAAUUGAUUCUGUCUGAUUGAGAGCUUAUUACCUGUUUGACAACCAUUAUUUGAGGAAAUAAAGUUUUGAAUAGUGAUUUUUAGGAGAAUGUGUAGUUAAAUGGUAGAAAAAAGUUUUGGAUUUAAGUACAAAAUAUUUUAUUGUGUGAAUGUGUAGUUGAAAAUGAAUGUGUAAAAAGGAGUUUGAAAAUAAAGGCUGUAAAACAGUGGCUAAAGUUCAUUGGCCUAAACAAAUGGCAUGCAUUAAAAAACUGUGAUAUGCUUGGGGGACGAACUCUUGAGAAUUAGAUAGUAUUCUCAUUUCUCAGUUUACAUAGAAAUCUAGUAGCACCGUCUCAAUUUUGUCUAAGCAGUUAUACUCUCAUGAAGCUGACAAUCUUCUAGAUAACAUGAUGCUCUGUAUUUAUUCCACUGUCAUCUUUAUUCGUGUAUGAUUAAAAGAAAGGAUUGCUUUCACUUGUGGUGUCUAUAGGUGCACUUUACAAAUUUAUUCGAAUAUUUUUUCUUGUGCUUUGAGUGUGACAAUUAUUUAUUUGUUGAACUUUUUAUCGUUUUGUAUAUGUUUCCUCAAUGUGACACCGAGGAAAGUCCUAUAUCCCGAUGCAUUGGCUUGCAGGAAGGGUACAAGGAUUGAUGAAAUGUUCGAGGAUAUAAGGGAAGUCUUGUCCAUUUGCCAAGAUACUUGGGGUAAUCGAAAUAUCUUUGAGGCCAUCAAUUGCAAAUAAUUUUACGAGGCAGCCAUAGUCAAUUUUAUCAUAUGGUUGCUCAUAUUCAAUUUGAUGCGGCAGGAUUUUGGAUGCCAUUUUGCAGUAACCUUGCCAGGCUACUCAUAACUCGAACUGGGCGGGACUUUGUUUUUGCUCCUUGGUCAACUUUUUUAAGUAUAUUUUUUCAAUCCCCAAAAUGGUUUGUUGUACCAACAAAAAAUAUUACGGAAUAAAUUACUCUUGUGGGCUUGACUCAAGAUCUUAUUAUAUCAUCAUUUUUUCAGUCUGAAGCAUUAAUCUAGGUUCUUGUCAUACAGAAUGGCAUUUUCG
This 5352-nucleotide long non-coding RNA is filed under the name Olea europaea subsp. europaea. The record is from RNAcentral. Lineage: Eukaryota; Viridiplantae; Streptophyta; Magnoliopsida; Lamiales; Oleaceae.